ACGCACGCUGGCGGCGUGCUUAACCCAUGCCAGUCGAACGGAAAGGCCCUGCUUUUGUGGGGUGCUCGAGUGGCGAACGGGUGAGUAACACGUGAGUAACCUGCCCUUGACUUUGGGAUAACUUCAGGAAACUGGGGCUAAUACCGGAUAGGAGCUCCUGCUGCAUGGUGGGGGUUGGAAAGUUUCGGCGGUUGGGGAUGGACUCGCGGCUUAUCAGCUUGUUGGUGGGGUAGUGGCUUACCAAGGCUUUGACGGGUAGCCGGCCUGAGAGGGUGACCGGCCACAUUGGGACUGAGAUACGGCCCAGACUCCUACGGGAGGCAGCAGUGGGGAAUAUUGCACAAUGGGCGGAAGCCUGAUGCAGCAACGCCGCGUGCGGGAUGACGGCCUUCGGGAUGUAAACCGCUUUCGCCUGUGACGAAGCGUGAGUGACGGUAAUGGGUAAAGAAGCACCGGCUAACUACGUG
RNAcentral lists this ribosomal RNA (467 nucleotides) under uncultured bacterium. Its description in RNAcentral is "partial 16S ribosomal RNA". It matches the Rfam family "Bacterial small subunit ribosomal RNA", at positions 29 to 507 of the family's 1533-position model. The record is from RNAcentral.